This 1316-nucleotide ribosomal RNA is filed under the name Dietzia maris. RNAcentral's name for it is "16S ribosomal RNA". It matches the Rfam family "Bacterial small subunit ribosomal RNA", at positions 29 to 1362 of the family's 1533-position model. Lineage: Bacteria; Bacillati; Actinomycetota; Actinomycetes; Mycobacteriales; Dietziaceae. The record is from RNAcentral.
ACGAACGCUGGCGGCGUGCUUAACACAUGCAAGUCGAACGGUAAGGCCCCUUCGGGGUACACGAGUGGCGAACGGGUGAGUAACACGUGGGUAAUCUGCCCUGCACUUCGGGAUAAGCCUGGGAAACUGGGUCUAAUACCGGAUAUGAACUCCUGCCGCAUGGUGGGGGUUGGAAAGUUUUUCGGUGCAGGAUGAGCCCGCGGCCUAUCAGCUUGUUGGUGGGGUAAUGGCCUACCAAGGCGACGACGGGUAGCCGGCCUGAGAGGGUGAUCGGCCACACUGGGACUGAGACACGGCCCAGACUCCUACGGGAGGCAGCAGUGGGGAAUAUUGCACAAUGGGCGAAAGCCUGAUGCAGCGACGCCGCGUGGGGGAUGACGGUCUUCGGAUUGUAAACCCCUUUCAGUAGGGACGAAGCGCAAGUGACGGUACCUGCAGAAGAAGCACCGGCUAACUACGUGCCAGCAGCCGCGGUAAUACGUAGGGUGCGAGCGUUGUCCGGAAUUACUGGGCGUAAAGAGCUCGUAGGCGGUUUGUCACGUCGUCUGUGAAAUCCCUCGGCUUAACCGGGGGCGUGCAGGCGAUACGGGCAGACUUGAGUACUACAGGGGAGACUGGAAUUCCUGGUGUAGCGGUGAAAUGCGCAGAUAUCAGGAGGAACACCGGUGGCGAAGGCGGGUCUCUGGGUAGUAACUGACGCUGAGGAGCGAAAGCAUGGGUAGCGAACAGGAUUAGAUACCCUGGUAGUCCAUGCCGUAAACGGUGGGCGCUAGGUGUGGGGUCCUUCCACGGACUCCGUGCCGUAGCUAACGCAUUAAGCGCCCNGCCUGGGGAGUACGGCCGCAAGGCUAAAACUCAAAGGAAUUGACGGGGGCCNGCACAAGCGGCGGAGCAUGUGGAUUAAUUCGAUGCAACGCGAAGAACCUUACCUAGGCUUGACAUAUACAGGACGACGGCAGAGAUGUCGUUUCCCUUGUGGCUUGUAUACAGGUGGUGCAUGGUUGUCGUCAGCUCGUGUCGUGAGAUGUUGGGUUAAGUCCCGCAACGAGCGCAACCCCUGUCUCAUGUUGCCAGCACGUAAUGGUGGGGACUCGUGAGAGACUGCCGGGGUCAACUCGGAGGAAGGUGGGGAUGACGUCAAAUCAUCAUGCCCCUUAUGUCUAGGGCUUCACACAUGCUACAAUGGCUAGUACAGAGGGCUGCGAUACCGCGAGGUGGAGCGAAUCCCUUAAAGCUGGUCUCAGUUCGGAUUGGGGUCUGCAACUCGACCCCAUGAAGUCGGAGUCGCUAGUAAUCGCAGAUCAGCAACGCUGCGG